RNAcentral lists this ribosomal RNA (1445 nucleotides) under uncultured organism. Its description in RNAcentral is "SSU rRNA". It matches the Rfam family "Bacterial small subunit ribosomal RNA". The record is from RNAcentral.
CGCUAGCUACAGGCUUAACACAUGCAAGUCGAGGGGCAGCAUUUUAGUUUGCUUGCAAACUGAAGAUGGCGACCGGCGCACGGGUGAGUAACACGUAUCCAACCUGCCGAUAACUCCGGAAUAGCCUUUCGAAAGAAAGAUUAAUACCGGAUAGCAUACGAAUAUCGCAUGAUAUUUUUAUUAAAGAAUUUCGGUUAUCGAUGGGGAUGCGUUCCAUUAGUUUGUUGGCGGGGUAACGGCCCACCAAGACAACGAUGGAUAGGGGUUCUGAGAGGAAGGUCCCCCACAUUGGAACUGAGACACGGUCCAAACUCCUACGGGAGGCAGCAGUGAGGAAUAUUGGUCAAUGGGCGAGAGCCUGAACCAGCCAAGUAGCGUGAAGGAUGAAGGCUCUAUGGGUCGUAAACUUCUUUUAUAUGGGAAUAAAGUUUUCCACGUGUGGAAUUUUGUAUGUACCAUAUGAAUAAGGAUCGGCUAACUCCGUGCCAGCAGCCGCGGUAAUACGGAGGAUCCGAGCGUUAUCCGGAUUUAUUGGGUUUAAAGGGAGCGUAGGUGGAUUGUUAAGUCAGUUGUGAAAGUUUGCGGCUCAACCGUAAAAUUGCAGUUGAAACUGGCAGUCUUGAGUACAGUAGAGGUGGGCGGAAUUCGUGGUGUAGCGGUGAAAUGCUUAGAUAUCACGAAGAACUCCGAUUGCGAAGGCAGCUCACUAGACUGUCACUGACACUGAUGCUCGAAAGUGUGGGUAUCAAACAGGAUUAGAUACCCUGGUAGUCCACACAGUAAACGAUGAAUACUCGCUGUUUGCGAUAUACAGUAAGCGGCCAAGCGAAAGCAUUAAGUAUUCCACCUGGGGAGUACGCCGGCAACGGUGAAACUCAAAGGAAUUGACGGGGGCCCGCACAAGCGGAGGAACAUGUGGUUUAAUUCGAUGAUACGCGAGGAACCUUACCCGGGCUUAAAUUGCAACAGAAUAUAUUGGAAACAGUAUAGCCGUAAGGCUGUUGUGAAGGUGCUGCAUGGUUGUCGUCAGCUCGUGCCGUGAGGUGUCGGCUUAAGUGCCAUAACGAGCGCAACCCUUAUCUUUAGUUACUAACAGGUGAUGCUGAGGACUCUAGAGAGACUGCCGUCGUAAGAUGUGAGGAAGGUGGGGAUGACGUCAAAUCAGCACGGCCCUUACGUCCGGGGCUACACACGUGUUACAAUGGGGGGUACAGAAGGCGGCUACCUGGUGACAGGAUGCUAAUCCCAAAAACCUCUCUCAGUUCGGAUCGAAGUCUGCAACCCGACUUCGUGAAGCUGGAUUCGCUAGUAAUCGCGCAUCAGCCAUGGCGCGGUGAAUACGUUCCCGGGCCUUGUACACACCGCCCGUCAAGCCAUGAAAGCCGGGGGUACCUGAAGUACGUAACCGCAAGGAGCGUCCUAGGGUAAAACUGGUAAUUGGGGCU